GUAUAUCACUAGGGGAGCCGAAUAGGCUGAGAUUGGAUCAAUAGAUCCUAGACCCUCUGAACCUGAUCUGGGUUAUACCAGCGUAGGAAAGUGGAGAUCAUUGGCG
This 106-nucleotide non-coding RNA is filed under the name Paenibacillus naphthalenovorans. RNAcentral's name for it is "TPP sequence". It matches the Rfam family "TPP riboswitch aptamer (THI element)". From Rfam's summary of the family: Vitamin B(1) in its active form thiamin pyrophosphate (TPP) is an essential coenzyme that is synthesised by coupling of pyrimidine and thiazole moieties in bacteria. The previously detected thiamin-regulatory element, thi box was extended, resulting in a new, highly conserved RNA secondary structure, the THI element, which is widely distributed in eubacteria and also occurs in some archaea. The record is from Rfam by way of RNAcentral. Lineage: Bacteria; Bacillati; Bacillota; Bacilli; Caryophanales; Paenibacillaceae.